GUAGGUGAACCUGCGGAAGGAUCAUUAUUGAAUGAACUUGACUCGUUGUUGCUGGUCCUUUCGGGGGCAUGUGCACACUUGUCAUCUUUAUAUUUCCACCUGUGCACAUUUUGUAGGUCCAAAAAAUUUUUCCCGAGACACUCGUUUUGGGGGACUGCCGUUCGUUAAUGUCGGCUUCCCCUGUUGGCCUGUAUAGGUCAAAAUUUUUUUUCCGAGACACUCGUUUGGGGCACUGCCGUCCGUUAGGUCGGCUUGCCUUGGAUUUAUUGGCCUAUGUUUUCAUAUACACCAUAAUGUAAUAGAAUGUUAUUAAUGGGCUUUGCCUAUAAACUAUAUACAACUUUCAGCAACGGAUCUCUUGGCUCUC
RNAcentral lists this unclassified non-coding RNA (367 nucleotides) under rhizosphere metagenome. RNAcentral describes it as "partial ribosomal RNA internal transcribed spacer region". The record is from RNAcentral.